Molecule: ribosomal RNA, 254 nt
Filed under: uncultured bacterium
Lineage: Bacteria
Description: partial 16S ribosomal RNA
Rfam family: Bacterial small subunit ribosomal RNA
Source: RNAcentral
UACGUAGGUGGCAAGCGUUGUCCGGAUUUACUGGGCGUAAAGAGCGCGCAGGCGGUCGUUCAAGUCGCGUGUGAAAGCCCCCGGCUCAACUGGGGAGGGUCACGCGAUACUGAUCGACUCGAAGGCAGGAGAGGGAAGUGGAAUUCCAGGUGUAGCGGUGAAAUGCGUAGAUAUCUGGAGGAACACCGGUGGCGAAGGCGGCAUCCUGGACCAAUCCUGACGCUGAGUGAGCGAAAGCCAGGGGAGCAAACGGG